CAGCAGCCACGGUAAUACGUAGGUCCCGAGCGUUGUCCGGAUUUAUUGGGCGUAAAGCGAGCGCAGGCGGUUAGAUAAGUCUGAAGUUAAAGGCUGUGGCUUAACCAUAGUACGCUUUGGAAACUGUUUAACUUGAGUGCAAGAGGGGAGAGUGGAAUUCCAUGUGUAGCGGUGAAAUGCGUAGAUAUAUGGAGGAACACCGGUGGCGAAAGCGGCUCUCUGGCUUGUAACUGACGCUGAGGCUCGAAAGCGUGGGGAGCAAACAGGAUUAGAGACCCCAGUAGUCCCUGUCUCUUAUACC
RNAcentral lists this ribosomal RNA (301 nucleotides) under uncultured bacterium. Its description in RNAcentral is "partial 16S ribosomal RNA". It matches the Rfam family "Bacterial small subunit ribosomal RNA", at positions 509 to 808 of the family's 1533-position model. The record is from RNAcentral.